Octopus sinensis (East Asian common octopus) is the source of this 736-nucleotide long non-coding RNA. RefSeq lists it as uncharacterized. The transcript is spliced from 2 exons. NCBI's taxonomy places the organism in Eukaryota, Metazoa, Mollusca, Cephalopoda, Octopoda, Octopodidae. The record is from RefSeq and is a predicted model, not a curated record.
AGGAACUACUCUGUAAUUUGUAAUGCACAUUUAAUCUGCAUACAAAAUGCAUUUUGCAGACAUUCUAUAGAUUGAUUAACAGAAAUGCUGCCAUUAGUCUCAGUCCAGAAGAAUUAUCUUACAGUAAUUCUACCACAGAUUUAUAUCUCCUAGUUUUUUGUGUCUGUUGUAUAUAAACGUUUUCCUUUCAUUUUUGAAGCUUGAUAAAUAUUGAUGAUGUAUCUGAUGUGAAUGUUAUCAGAUAAUCUGAAGCCCAAUGGAUAAGGCACCGGCCUCCUAAGCCAGAGAUUACGGGUUCGUGUCCCGUCGGAGGUAUGAUUUAACACCUUUUUAAAAGGUGGUGCUCCAGCAUGGCUCCUAGUUUGUGUCUGUUGUAUAUAAACGUUUUCCUUUCAUUUUUGAAGCUUGAUAAAUAUUGAUGAUGUAUCUGAUGUGAAUGUUAUCAGAUAAUCUGAAGCCCAAUGGAUAAGGCACCGGCCUCCUAAGCCAGAGAUUGUGGGUUCUUGUCCCGUCGGAGGUAUGAUUUAACACCUUUUUAAAAGGUGGUGCUCCGGCAUGGCCACAGUCAAAUGACUGAAACAAGUAAAAGGGUGUUAGCUACUGAGGUUUCAUAAAAUGCUCUCAGACAUGUCCAUUGUACAUGUAUACACAUGCACCUGUAUGCAUUAUACGUACAUAGAGCAAAGGGUGAUGACCCUUUUCAGUCAUAAAUGACCAUGGGAUUGCACUUCUGAGA